GGGGGUUUAGCUCAGUGGUGAGAGCAGCCGUCGGAAGGUCGUUGGUUCGAUUCCAUCAACCUCAA
This 65-nucleotide transfer RNA is filed under the name Pristionchus pacificus. It matches the Rfam family "tRNA". From Rfam's summary of the family: Transfer RNA (tRNA) molecules are approximately 80 nucleotides in length. Their secondary structure includes four short double-helical elements and three loops (D, anti-codon, and T loops). Further hydrogen bonds mediate the characteristic L-shaped molecular structure. tRNAs have two regions of fundamental functional importance: the anti-codon, which is responsible for specific mRNA codon recognition, and the 3' end, to which the tRNAs corresponding amino acid is attached (by aminoacyl-tRNA synthetases). tRNAs cope with the degeneracy of the genetic code in two manners: having more than one tRNA (with a specific anti-codon) for a particular amino acid; and 'wobble' base-pairing, i.e. permitting non-standard base-pairing at the 3rd anti-codon position. Lineage: Eukaryota; Metazoa; Nematoda; Chromadorea; Rhabditida; Neodiplogasteridae. The record is from Rfam by way of RNAcentral.